UACGUAGGGUGCGAGCGUUGUCCGGAAUUACUGGGCGUAAAGAGCUCGUAGGCGGCUUGUCGCGUCGGAUGUGAAAGCCCGGGGCUUAACCCCGGGUCUGCAUUCGAUACGGGCAGGCUAGAGUUCGGUAGGGGAGAUCGGAAUUCCUGGUGUAGCGGUGAAAUGCGCAGAUAUCAGGAGGAACACCGGUGGCGAAGGCGGAUCUCUGGGCCGAUACUGACGCUGAGGAGCGAAAGCGUGGGGAGCGAACAGG
Molecule: ribosomal RNA, 253 nt
Filed under: uncultured bacterium
Lineage: Bacteria
Description: partial 16S ribosomal RNA
Rfam family: Bacterial small subunit ribosomal RNA
Source: RNAcentral